RNAcentral lists this ribosomal RNA (644 nucleotides) under Salmonella enterica. RNAcentral describes it as "partial 23S ribosomal RNA". It matches the Rfam family "Bacterial large subunit ribosomal RNA", at positions 1 to 688 of the family's 2925-position model. The record is from RNAcentral. RNAcentral also lists the same sequence under 1 other name. Lineage: Bacteria; Pseudomonadati; Pseudomonadota; Gammaproteobacteria; Enterobacterales; Enterobacteriaceae.
GUUAAGCGACUAAGCGUACACGGUGGAUGCCCUGGCAGUCAGAGGCGAUGAAGGGCGUGCUAAUCUGCGAUAAGCGCCGGUAAGGUGAUAUGAACCGUUAUAACCGGCGAUACCCGAAUGGGGAAACCCAGUGUGAUUCGUCACACUAUCAUUAACUGAAUCCAUAGGUUAAUGAGGCGAACCGGGGGAACUGAAACAUCUAAGUACCCCGAGGAAAAGAAAUCAACCGAGAUUCCCCCAGUAGCGGCGAGCGAACGGGGAGGAGCCCAGAGCCUGAAUCAGCAUGUGUGUUAGUGGAAGCGUCUGGAAAGGCGCGCGAUACAGGGUGACAGCCCCGUACACAAAAGCGCAUGUGCUGUGAGCUCGAUGAGUAGGGCGGGACACGUGGUAUCCUGUCUGAAUAUGGGGGGACCAUCCUCCAAGGCUAAAUACUCCUGACUGACCGAUAGUGAACCAGUACCGUGAGGGAAAGGCGAAAAGAACCCCGGCGAGGGGAGUGAAAAAGAACCUGAAACCGUGUACGUACAAGCAGUGGGAGCACCCUUCGGGGUGUGACUGCGUACCUUUUGUAUAAUGGGUCAGCGACUUAUAUUCUGUAGCAAGGUUAACCGUAUAGGGGAGCCGGAGGGAAACCGAGUCUUAAC